Molecule: non-coding RNA, 1984 nt
Organism: Microcebus murinus (gray mouse lemur)
Lineage: Eukaryota; Metazoa; Chordata; Mammalia; Primates; Cheirogaleidae
Source: RefSeq, a predicted model, not a curated record
UCCCCUCUCCAAACCUAACUACUGAAGUUCAUUCUCAGUUACUACUCUUUCUCCUUCUCCUAAUUCCAGUAUAGGAGGUUCUCCCUCCUCCUAUUUCCCUAGCCAGUUUUCAAGGAGUUUUUUUCUUUGUAUAGGCAGUAUUAUUUGUGAUUGUGGAGUUAGCAUCUCUGCCACCCACAGUGGAGAGUAGGGACAAAUGUAUAGACCAUGAGCUUGGCUAGCAGGCAAAUGGAAGCUGUGGGGUUAGUCUGGUUGCUGGCACAGACCACAUCCCAUCAGUCGAAUGUCCCACUUGACUUCAGUUGAGGGCAGAUAGCAGGGGUGGAGUGGGAGGGGUGGGGAACACAUUCUGAGGAGAACCCAGCCUUCUUAUUUCAUAAUUGCUCCAUGGUGUCAACAGUUCCAGGUUACCUCAGCAGUUCUCCAGUCUCCUUUCACAUUGCUCUUAAUCAUCUUAUUUUAUUUGCAACUAGGAUAAAAGUAACCAGGUCACAGUUACCAAAUGCUUUUUACUCAGUCAUAAGGAUGUUUUAGAUCAGAAUCCUGUGGAUUGUUGCAAUGCCCACCUGUGGACACUGACUCCUUGAGCAGUUCUACAAAGCAACUCUCAUUUGACAUUCUGCAUCAUGGAGGAAUGUGGCCGCCUCCCCAAGCAGGCUUGAGCUGCUACACAGCCCUGAGCUGGGUCCCUGGGAGGAUCCGAGAGAAGGAACCUGGCAGCGUCUGGGAACAGGCCCUGAGGAAGCGCAGAAGGCCAGGUGGUAAGAAUCCAAGGAAAGGGCAUGGCAUUCCUAAGCAAAGGUGUCAAGCGGUGGAAGGAUGUUGUGCCGUGACUGUUGAUGCUCAGGAUCUAGGUAACACAUGAACAUUGUGUGGGGGUGUGCCACGGGGUCUGUCAACGGGCACCCACGUUAGGUUUGAGACGUGACCUGGAGAGGAACUUGGUGAGUAAAGCCCUUGGGAAGAUAGGAGGGGUUAUCAUGCAGGGUAGAAAGUGACCUGUGUAUGAUCUGAGAUGAAACCAGUGACAGGGUCAGCUUGUGGAUGGCUUUGAGUAAGCAGCAGAAGAGGUUGGACAUUAUCUGGAGAUAACACAAAGUCACUGUAGGCUUCUGAGCAAGAAAGUGCUCUAACUCCUUGCUUUAUGAGAACUAAGCGGCCAGGAGUGGUAAGAGACGAGACCCAGAAGGAGAAAGAAGGUGGCAACAGCCAGCAAUAUUGCUCUUCAGCCUGUUGCCAUGUGACCAAGAAGAGAAGCCGAUUAAGUGUGGUCCCAACAGCCUCCACUCACUAUAGCACCCCUUACUACCCCCCCGCCCCAGCCUGAGUCCCCUCGAAACCAGCAGCCAACUGGGAGGGACCAGCUUCAGAUCCUCCUACAGGACUCUGCUUACCAUGGCAAAGCUGUCGAUUGUUUGCUAAAACAAUUCCCAUUUUAGCAGCUCAAUCAUUAGCCAAAGGCAUUAAAGAAACAAAAAUACUAUGACCAAACCUUGAAGAAUUUAGUCUCUGCUGCUGAACACAUUUAUUAUUAGUAAUAUUUGUUCCAAGAUCUCUGCUUUCUAUAGAACAUGGCAUAAUCAUAAAAUAAAAGUAAUUCACAGAUAACAAAUUUCCCUUUACAAGACAGGUGUUGAUGUCUCAAAUGAGCCCUUGUUUGGACGAUUCUACCCAGGCAAGGCAUUUCCAUCAGUUUGCCACCGGCAGAAUACAUUUGUGAGAUGGGGAGAACAGAAAAAACAAAAACAAAAAAACAGCAACACAAUUUUGGAAGCUGGGAAGCAAAUGGAUGAGUGGUAACUCACUCAGUAGACCCAAGAAAACUGAGUCUUGAACCAGCAAUGGGGAAAGAUUAAUAAAAUUUAUGCUGCAGAAUUCCACCGCCACCCCCAAAUCAGGCAUAAUCAGUAAUAAUUACAUGCAGAAAUGAGGGUGAUGUGGAAAGAGAUAAAAUAAAGAGAUGUGGCUGAAAAGCUAUUAUAAA